Molecule: ribosomal RNA, 591 nt
Filed under: Triticum aestivum (bread wheat)
Lineage: Eukaryota; Viridiplantae; Streptophyta; Magnoliopsida; Poales; Poaceae
Description: partial small subunit ribosomal RNA
Source: RNAcentral
AUGGCGGCGGGGGAGAAAGUCCCAGCAAGCGGCGGGUUGGCGCAGCAGCCACCGCCGAUCGUCACGAACAACGACCUGCCGCUGGCGGCGUCCAACUCCAACCUGCACGCCUUCACGUUCGCGGAGCUGUGCGCGGCGACCGAGGGGUUCGCCUGCUGCAACCAAAUCGGCAGCGGCGAGUUCGGGACGGCGUACAGGGGAUUCAUCGAGGACGGUGUCCGGCCGGGGCUCCCGGCGCAGCCCGUCGCCGUCAAGCGGACACGGUGGCGGGUCGACAACUACGUCGAGGGAAUGGUGAAGGAGGCGAUGUUCCUCGGGGAGCUGCAGCUGCGGCAUCCCUGCCUGGUGAGGAUGAUCGGCUACUGCUGCGAGGAGGAGCACAGGCUCCUCGUCUACGAGCUCAUGGACCAUGGCAGCUUGGACGACUACUUCUUCAAGCGUACACUAAGCAUCGUCUUAGCUACGGCGAAAGGGCUGGUGUCCCUCCACGGCGCGGAGAAGCCAUUGAUCUGCGGCGAAUUCAAUGCCUCCGACAUCCUACUGGACUCGGUAGGAGACCAUUCUGCAUCUCUCGCCCUUGUUAAAUGUUAA